GAUUUGAGGGGCUCGGGUUGUAGCUGGUCUCUCGGGACAGGUGCUCGCCCUUGCUCUCUUACACCCACACACCCUGUGCACUCUUGCGUGGGUCGCGUCGACUUUGUUCGGCGCGCUCGCGACUUUAUACAAACCCCCCUGUAUGUUUUAGAAUGUCUCUGCGUACCUACGCAACCUAGUACAACUUUCAACAACGGAUCUCUUGGCUCUCGCAUCGAUGAAGAACGCAGCGAAAUGCGAUAAGUAAUGUGAAUUGCAGAAUCCAGUGAAUCAUCGAAUCUUUGAACGCAACUUGCACCCCUUGGUAUUCCGAGGGGUACACCUGUUUGAGUGUCGUGAAUUUCUCAACUCUACCUCCUUUUUCGAGGAGUUGUAGGGCUUGGACUUGGAGGCUUUGCGGGCGGUGUUCUCUCUGUCUGCUCCUCUUAAAUGCAUUAGUGACGUGCCCCGGGUGGCUUGGACGUGAUAAUUGUCUACGUUCGUGGUUGCUCGUCGUUGGUGGUUGCUUCUAACUGUCCCUUUGUUGGGACGAUUUUUGAAACUUGACCUCAAAUCAGGUGGGACUACCCGCUGAACUUAAGCAUAUCAAUAAGCGGAGGAAAAGAAACUAACAAGGAUUCCCCUAGUAACUGCGAGUGAAGCGGGAAAAGCUCAAAUUUAAAAUCUGGCGCCUUCGGGCGUCCGAGUUGUAGUUUAGAGAAGCGUUUUCCGUGCCGGACCGUGUACAAGUCUCCUGGAACGGAGCGUCGUAGAGGGUGAGAAUCCCGUCUUUGACACGGACUACCGGUGCUCUGUGAUGCGCUCUCAAAGAGUCGAGUUGUUUGGGAAUGCAGCUCAAAAUGGGUGGUGAAUUCCAUCUAAAGCUAAAUAUUGGCGAGAGACCGAUAGCGAACAAGUACCGUGAGGGAAAGAUGAAAAGGACUUUGGAAAGAGAGUUAAACAGUACGUGAAAUUGUUGAAAGGGAAACGCUUGAAGUCAGUCGCGUCCGCCGGGACUCAGCCUGGUUUUUACCUGGUGUACUUCCCGGUGAACGGGCCAGCAUCACUUUUGGUUGCCGGAAAAGAGCGGGAGAAAAGUGGCACCUUCGGGUGUGUUAUAGUCUCUCGUUGUAUACGGUGGUCGGGAGUGAGGAACUCAGCACGCCUUACGGUCGG
Molecule: ribosomal RNA, 1155 nt
Filed under: Russulales sp.
Lineage: Eukaryota; Fungi; Basidiomycota; Agaricomycetes; Russulales
Description: eukaryotic LSU rRNA
Rfam family: Eukaryotic large subunit ribosomal RNA (bases 544-1155)
Source: RNAcentral